AGUGAACGCUGGCGGUAGGCCUAACACAUGCAAGUCGAACGGCAGCACAGUAAGAGCUUGCUCUUACGGGUGGCGAGUGGCGGACGGGUGAGGAAUACAUCGGAAUCUACUUUUUCGUGGGGGAUAACGUAGGGAAACUUACGCUAAUACCGCAUACGACCUACGGGUGAAAGCAGGGGAUCUUCGGACCUUGCGCGGUUGAAUGAGCCGAUGUGGGAUUAGCUAGUUGGCGGGGUAAAGGCCCACCAAGGCGACGAUACGUAGCUGGAGUGUGAGGAGGGUCGCCGACACUGGAAGUUGAACAGGGUCAUGACUCCUACGAGAGGGAGCAGUGGGGAAUAUGGGACAAUGGUCGCAAGCCUUGUCCAGUCAGACCGCGUGUGUGGAGACGGCCUUCGGGUUGUAAAGACCUUUUUUUGGUAAAGAAACGCAGCAGGUUAAUACCCAGCUGUUCUGACGGUACCCAAAGAAUAAGCACCGGCUAGCUUCGUG
RNAcentral lists this ribosomal RNA (492 nucleotides) under uncultured bacterium. Its description in RNAcentral is "partial 16S ribosomal RNA". It matches the Rfam family "Bacterial small subunit ribosomal RNA", at positions 29 to 507 of the family's 1533-position model. The record is from RNAcentral.